Molecule: ribosomal RNA, 597 nt
Filed under: uncultured marine eukaryote
Lineage: Eukaryota
Description: SSU rRNA
Rfam family: Eukaryotic small subunit ribosomal RNA
Source: RNAcentral
AACCUGGUUGAUCCUGCCAGUAGUCAUAUGCGUUGUGCUCAAAGAUUAAGCCAUGCAUGUCUCAGUAUAAGCUUCUAUAUGGCGAAACUGCGAAUGGCUCAUUAAAACAGUUAUAGUUUAUUUGGUGGUCAACUUCUACAUGGAUAACCGUGGUAAUUCUAGAGCUAAUACAUGCGCCCAAACCCAACUUCUUGGAAGGGUUGUGUUUAUUAGAUACAGAACCAACCCAGGCUCCGCCUGGCCUUGAGGUGAUUCAUAAUAACCGAACGAAUCGCAUGGCUCCGCCGGCGAUAGACCAUUCAAGUUUCUGACCUAUCAGCUAUCGUCGGUAGGGUAUUGGCCUACCGUGGCAAUGACGGGUAACGGAGAAUUAGGGUUCGAUUCCGGAGAGGGAGCCUGAGAAACGGCUACCACAUCUAAGGAAGGCAGCAGGCGCGCAAAUUACCCAAUCCUGACGCAGGGAGGUAGUGACAAGAAAUAACAGUACAGGGCAUAUCUGUCUUGUAAUUGGAAUGAGUAAACUUUAAAUCACUUUGCGAGUAUCAAUUGGAGGGCAAGUCUGGUGCCAGCAGCCGCGGUAAUUCCAGCCCCAAUAGC